This 328-nucleotide long non-coding RNA is filed under the name Mus spicilegus (steppe mouse). RNAcentral's name for it is "lncRNA (ENSMSIG00000028837.1)". The record is from RNAcentral. Lineage: Eukaryota; Metazoa; Chordata; Mammalia; Rodentia; Muridae.
CUCCUGUACUGCACUUCUUUCAUAUUGGGGGAACCCCAAAGUUCAAGGGCAAUGCCACAACCAAAACUCAACAAGGCCAGAUCCUAUCUUCACAGCUUUCCUGAAAGCUACAGGUUAACAUCGUAAGAGUUGACUAGACUCCAAGGGACAGCUAGAGGACAAGGGCUUGGCACAGCAUCUGCAUCGUCAGCACAGCACACAAAUGGCUCAGAGAAGGGACGGACAUCUUGGUUCUGGAGUUGCAGUAGUUUUGGACCAAGGUCAAUUUCAGGAAACUGAAGCCAUGUAAAUCGGGAUGUCAGGAAUUGGGGACUGUUGCAAUGUAUUU